Molecule: long non-coding RNA, 246 nt
Filed under: Carica papaya (papaya)
Lineage: Eukaryota; Viridiplantae; Streptophyta; Magnoliopsida; Brassicales; Caricaceae
Description: long non-coding RNA (CPAP_LNC015481)
Source: RNAcentral
AGCUUACUAUCUUCAGUAUCUUUGAGAGAGAGAGGUGAUCAACCGAUUUGGUCCUCAACCUAAUAGGGACAUUUAUGGUUGGUCUUUCUAUAAAUAUUAGGUCAAGAAUGACUUAUUGGAAGACAAGUUCCCCUUUUCGAAAAAUUUGGAAAGUGAAUGCUCAUCCUAGAAUUGCUUUCUUUACUUGGAAAGUAGAGCAUUGAAGUAUUUUGCUUAUUGACAAGUUGAUGAGGAGGGGAAAUAUUU